This 1324-nucleotide ribosomal RNA is filed under the name metagenome. Its description in RNAcentral is "bacterial LSU rRNA". It matches the Rfam family "Bacterial large subunit ribosomal RNA", at positions 1561 to 2925 of the family's 2925-position model. The record is from RNAcentral.
AGUGGAUGGGGAGCAACCUAGUUGUGCGUGUGUAAAGGUAGUGCCAAGAAAAGCGAUGAUCAUGUUGAAAAUCAAUUCCCGGUACCCGAAACCGACACAGGUGGGCAAGUAGAGAAUACUAAGGGGCGCGAGGUAACUCUCUCCAAGGAACUCGGCAAAAUGACCCCGUAACUUAGGGAGAAGGGGUGCCACCGAGAGGUGGUCGCAGUGAAGAGGCCCAGGCGACUGUUUAGCAAAAACAUAGGUCUCUGCAAACUCGAAAGAGGAGGUAUAGGGGCUGACGCCUGCCCAGUGCCGGAAGGUUAAAGAAGUUGGUCAGUUUUAGGAUGAAGCUAGCGACUGAAGCCCCGGUGAACGGCGGCCGUAACUAUAACGGUCCUAAGGUAGCGAAAUUCCUUGUCGGGUAAGUUCCGACCCGCACGAAAGGCGUAACGAUCUGGGCGCUGUCUCGGAGAGGGGCUCGGCGAAAUAGGAUUGUCUGUGAAGAUACGGACUACCUGCAUUUGGACAGAAAGACCCUAUGAAGCUUUACUAUAGCUUGGAAUUGUGUUCGGGCUUCCUGUGCGCAGGAUAGGUGGGAGGCGUAGAAGGUAUUCUUGUGGGGAUACUGGAGCCAACGGUGAGAUACCACUCUCAGGAGGCUAGAAUUCUAACUUAAUUAAGGACAGUUUCAGGUGGGUAGUUUGACUGGGGCGGUCGCCUCCAAAAAGGUAACGGAGGCGUACAAAGGUUCCCUCAGACUGGUUGGAAAUCAGUCGAAGAGUGCAAAGGCAGAAGGGAGCUUGACUGCGAGAAGUACAGUUCGAGCAGGGUGGAAACACGGUCUUAGUGAUCCGACGGUGCUGUGUGGAAGGGCCGUCGUUCAACGGAUAAAAGUUACUCUAGGAUAACAGGCUGAUCUCCCCCAAGAGUUCACAUCGACGGGGAGGUUUGGCACCUCGAUGUCGGCUCAUCGCAACCUGGGGCGGAAGUACGUCCCAAGGGUUGGGCUGUUCGCCCAUUAAAGCGGUACGUGAGCUGGGUUCAGAACGUCGUGAGACAGUUCGGUCCAUAUCCGAUGUAGGCGUGAGAAUAUUGAGAGGAGCCUUCCUUAGUACGAGAGGACCGGGAAGGACGCACCGCUGGUGUACCUGUUAUGAUGCCAAUUGUAAACGCAGGGUAGCCAAGUGCGGAGAGGAUAACCGCUGAAAGCAUCUAAGUGGGAAGCCCACCUCAAGAUGAGUAUUCUGGUGUAAGGUCACGGGAAGACGACCCGUAAAUAGGCACGAGGUGGAAGUGCAGAGAUGUAUGAAGCCGAAGUGUACUAAUAGACCGUCGGCUUGAC